GGCCUGGGCUCAACAACUCUCUGCUUCAAUGAACAUUUUCCAAAUCUUCCCAAGGCCAUUAUGGAAAGGAACCAAACCAAAUGCCUUCUGCACCUGAUGAGGAGGAAAUGGAAUCAAUUUUCUUCUGCCUCCAACUUUGAACGUUGAAAAGCAAACGCAGAAGGCAGAUCCGACAGGGGUCUGACUGUGUGAGAAGCUCAACAGUGUUGUAUUUCAGGAGCUUCUGCUGAGAUGGAAUUGCUUCGUAAUUUUAAAUUCUUACAAGGUGCAGAUAAAUGCAUCUGUUGUGAGCUGAGGGGCUGACCUGUUAUGCCCUGUGGAGAGAAUCAGUGUGUGCAAAGAGGAAGUAGGAGAGUCUUCAUUGCUCCCUCUGCCUCCUGCUCUUGGAGCUAUGGGGCAUGCCAUUGGAAGGCUCUGAAUGUUAAUGGCUAAGGAGGCUGCCUUAGAGCUCCAGGGUUCCAGGGUUCUUUCCUUUCAACAUCGUCACUGGUAUUAGAGAACCCACUCUGUUGGCCCUGCUUUAAAUACAACCAAUACCUUAUUCUGGGAGCUGAAAAAAAUAAAUAAAUAAACCAAACCCCAAACACACGUGCUCUGAGGGCACUGAGCUGUUGAAAGGGGAGGUUGAUUUAUUAGGGAAAGUGGUUUAUCCACUGUCAGAAUGGUGCCUGUUAAACAGGUUGGGUUUUUUUUCUUUCCUGUCGAAUGCAUUUUCUUACGUUUUCCCCGGGCCUUCUGUUGCUAGCAGAUCAAUACCCUGCAGACUGCUCAAAUGAAUUUCUGUCUCCAUCCACUCAUGCUUCUCUGUUGUGCUUGUUGGAGCAUCCAGACCUGACAUCCAGUGCUUCGCAGCCUAUGGUUUGUGAUAAACUGGAUGAUCCUAUGAAAUCAGAUGGUUCUCCAAGAGGACUUUGUACACAAUAACAGCCACGUUAUGCAAUGACUAAGAUUGUUAAACUGAACCCUUCUCAGCGUUACAAGAAUCUAAGACAUCUCCAGAGGCCUCAGGAUGGAAAAUGCUGUCCACAUCCAAAGGAAGAACUAUGGAAGUCGAAUCGCUAUCACCUAUUUUUACCUUCUGUUGAGUUUUGUUUCAUCUUUCUGAUGGUUCCUCCUAUUGGUUUUAAUUUUUACUUACAACUUCACUGAUGUGAAAAUAUGUUUAAUGGGUAUGUAAAUGUAAAGCCUAUAUCAGAUUGUGUGCCG
RNAcentral lists this long non-coding RNA (1206 nucleotides) under Phascolarctos cinereus (koala). RNAcentral's name for it is "lncRNA (ENSPCIG00000020628.2)". Lineage: Eukaryota; Metazoa; Chordata; Mammalia; Diprotodontia; Phascolarctidae. The record is from RNAcentral.